GAGUUUGAUCCUGGCUCAGAUUGAACGCUAGCGGCAGGCCUAACACAUGCAAGUCGAGCGGAUGAAGGGAGCUUGCUCCUGGAUUCAGCGGCGGACGGGUGAGUAAUGCCUAGGAAUCUGCCUGGUAGUGGGGGAUAACGUCCGGAAACGGGCGCUAAUACCGCAUACGUCCUGAGGGAGAAAGUGGGGGAUCUUCGGACCUCACGCUAUCAGAUGAGCCUAGGUCGGAUUAGCUAGUUGGUGGGGUAAAGGCCUACCUAGGCGACGAUCCGUAACUGGUCUGAGAGGAUGAUCAGUCACACUGGAACUGAGACACGGUCCAGACUCCUACGGGAGGCAGCAGUGGGGAAUAUUGGACAAUGGGCGAAAGCCUGAUCCAGCCAUGCCGCGUGUGUGAAGAAGGUCUUCGGAUUGUAAAGCACUUUAAGUUGGGUAGGAAGGGCAGUAAGUUAAUACCUUGCUGUUUUGACGUUACCAACAGAAUAAGCACCGGCUAACUUCGUGCCAGCAGCCGCGGU
This 518-nucleotide ribosomal RNA is filed under the name uncultured microorganism. RNAcentral describes it as "bacterial SSU rRNA". It matches the Rfam family "Bacterial small subunit ribosomal RNA", at positions 9 to 521 of the family's 1533-position model. The record is from RNAcentral.